GGGAGGCUCUCUCAGCCUCCUGGGGGUACCUGCAGCAGGUGAGGUGGGCAGAGACUUUGGCUCGUGCUGUAAAUAACAACAACAGUGGAACUGUAGCAGCACUCUGGGAAAAUCCAGUUAUGUAGAACACACCUGGGACAUGAAUUCACUCCAGGAGUCUGUAUUUUGUGGUUUAUGUGUCCCAGGCAGUGGGGAGCUAGAGGGCAUUUGGUUCUGCAAGAUGUUUAACCAGAUCUGAAAGGCUCACCAUGGCUGCACAAGGGUGCAAGUUUAGGAAGAGGGGACAUCCCACUGCAGGCAGGUGGAAGGGAGUUCCAGGUACAGCUCUCCUGUGUUCUAAUGGCAUGUUCAGACCCCAAAGUAGCCUCAUCUAAAUAUUAAUAUUCAAAUAACAGUCACCACAAAUCUGUUUGUUCUUGCCACAGAUUUCAGAAAAAUUGCUGCUUGUCUUUCCUCUCCCACGAGGCUGAAUCCCAGCACCCCAGAUUGUCGUGACUGCCUGGGAUUGGUGACAUCUCCAGUGAAACGUGUUGGAGCAUCAAAACAGAGUGGGAGAAGCACAGCCUGGCUCCGGGAGCCAAAAAUAGUGUUCCUCUGGCUUUGAAUUCUCUCUGCAGUCUCACUUGCCCUGGCACAGGAGAAAACGUGAUGGUGUGUGCAGAACAGAAGCACUGGGACUCAGGAGAAGUGAAAGGUGGCCCUGCUGGCUCUACCUCCAACACCUCUCUGUGGUUCUGCUUCCUGACUUCCUGUCAGGAUAACCUGGACUGAAAGCUCUCCACGCUUUUUCUGUGCAAUCCUACAAUGUCUAACACAACCUCGGACUCUGUCAGCCUGGGACUCAGGGAGCUCCACCCUCUUCUCAGCAGUCCCAGGGAUCUCACCUCAGUGAUUACAAGGUCUGCCUGCAUUUGUGACCCUCCCUGAUUCCAGUGAGGAGCUGGAACUGCCUUUGGCCUCAGGAAUGACAGAAGUAUAUGCCGGGGUUGGAGGGUUUCUGCCAUAUGACCUGCUAACCUAGAAUUUGCUCAGCAAAGUCCAGAGGGUGACUUUUAACCUCAGAGUGGUUUGCAAAGCCACAUCUGUGACCAAUAAAUGUGAAAAAUAAAUGAAAGGAAAAAAAAAU
This 1126-nucleotide long non-coding RNA is filed under the name Cyanistes caeruleus (blue tit). RNAcentral's name for it is "lncRNA (ENSCCEG00000000958.1)". The record is from RNAcentral. Lineage: Eukaryota; Metazoa; Chordata; Aves; Passeriformes; Paridae.